Molecule: long non-coding RNA, 349 nt
Filed under: Androctonus crassicauda
Lineage: Eukaryota; Metazoa; Arthropoda; Arachnida; Scorpiones; Buthidae
Source: RNAcentral
CUGGCCUAGUUUUCUUUUAUCGUAAUUAAAUGAGGAAGGCAAGGCGUUGCAUUGGUAACAUUGCCAAGGCAUUGGAAGCGGGCAUUUGCUACGAUCCUCCUACGUGUCGUGUGCAAAAUACAAGUCGUGACAGGAAAAGAGCAGCGUUCUGCUCGUUGUUCAUUGUUUCAUCAGUGUGUAACGGAUCUCAAUUGUUGCUGCUGUUCCUGAUUAUAACUGUACAGUACGUACAGUAUUCGUAAAUUGUUCUUGGGGUAUGCUUAAUGUUUUUUAAGUGUACUACAGUGAAGAUUUCAAAAUGGGUUAUAAACGAAAAAAAGUUGUGACUAUGGAGGAGAAAAUACGUGCU